Molecule: long non-coding RNA, 224 nt
Filed under: Lathyrus oleraceus (garden pea)
Lineage: Eukaryota; Viridiplantae; Streptophyta; Magnoliopsida; Fabales; Fabaceae
Description: Pisum sativum (pea) long non-coding RNA (PSAT_LNC004699)
Source: RNAcentral
GAAAGUAAAGUAGAUAAAGGUAAAGCAAUAAAAACCUGCUCCAAUUGGAGGGUUGAAUAAAAUGCGAAACAGAAAUAAAAUGGCGGCAGGAUUAACUUCCUUCCAAAGUGCUCCAAACUCGAUUACAGACUCGAUCACAUACUCGAUUACACAAUUGUGGCAACACCUCGAUGUGAAGCGAUUACCACUUUAAAAUACUGAAUAUAUGCCUAAGUGAAACUAAG